This 147-nucleotide unclassified non-coding RNA is filed under the name soil metagenome. RNAcentral describes it as "partial internal transcribed spacer 1". The record is from RNAcentral.
CCGAGUUUACAACUCCCAAACCCCUGUGAACCUACCUAUAUGUUGCCUCGGCGGAUCAGCUCGCGCCCCGUAAAACGGGACGGCCCGCCGCAGGAUCCACAAACUCUGUUUUUAUUGUAACUUCUGAGUAACAAAACAAAUAAAUCA